Musa acuminata AAA Group (dessert banana) is the source of this 1674-nucleotide RNA transcript. RefSeq lists it as uncharacterized. The transcript is spliced from 6 exons. NCBI's taxonomy places the organism in Eukaryota, Viridiplantae, Streptophyta, Magnoliopsida, Zingiberales, Musaceae. The record is from RefSeq and is a predicted model, not a curated record.
CCAAAUGUACUCAAACCCCUAAUGGCCGUUCACGUUAAGCUUCUGGCCGCCGAUCUCCUCUCCCUCGCCGUCCACCACGCCUCCCGCCCUCCCUCUUUCACCCGGAAGGGUAAGCCCGUAUCGCGAGCCGAAGCCGUGGGUGUGGUGGUGAGCCGCGAGCGCAAGGACAAGUACCUCUCCUUCCUGGUGGACGACGGCAGCGGGUGCAUCCCCUGCAUCCUCUGGCUCAACCACCAGUCCGACCGCGAGCGCGACCUCGGCGUGGCCGCUGAGAUGGCUCGCGAGGAGGCCGCAGCCGUGCAGCUGGGGAAACUGGUCCGGGUCAGGGGGAGGAUCACGGCGUACAGGGGGGUGGUGCAGAUAACCGUCGGGGAUGUGGUGGUGGAGCGGGAUCCCAAUUCGGAGGUGCUGCACUGGUUGGAUUGCGUUAGGUUGGCCAAAUGCUGCUACGAUCCGCCUCCUUGAGCUCUUGCGGGAUGCAGUACACUACGGCUCCGACACACACCAAGCAUACGGGAAAAGAAGAAGAGUAUGAUCCUGAUCUCCUUUUGCAGAUGUUAGCAAAUACUUUCACGGAGGACCGGAAGCUUAGAAUGGCUAGCAACACUACACUAACUGUGACACCAAAUUUGCUGAUAAACCCCGAAUUCCUUGUCAGAUCGCAAGCUGAUAAACCUCUGGUUUGCAUUCAGAUAUCUGGUUCUUGUGAAAAAUGAAUGCUGAAUCAUCAUGUCAUAUUGGCGAAGAAGAAUAUAACGGACAAAGGGUUUGGUAGAGACUGAAGGAAGCGGCAUGGAUCCCAGACUCGUGGACGUCUCCAAGAGCUUGAUGGGCCCCAUCGGCGAUGAGAGGGAAUGUGGCGCUUGCCACGAUCGGUUCGCUUCUUGGAGUUUGCUACGGCGACUCGUCGAGUGCCAAGAGGACAGCAAGCGCCUCCAGGAUCAUAUAUCUCAACUCACAAGAUCGCGCCAGGAAGAUCGCAAGGAUGAUGCAAGUAAACUUCAGAAGGAGAAAGAGGAGUGCGAUAAGGGGUUUGGCGAAUGCACAGCUGAGAAGGGAUUGAUAGCCUGGUGGUACGAGAGGCUGCAUGGGGAGAAUUCGGCCCUUCUUCAGAAGGUGAAUACUUUGGAGGCUGAGAUCGAUUCCUUGAAGCACGACAAUGAAAACCUGGCAAGAAGUCUAGAAGCUGACAAGGAGAAGAAUCAAUCGGAUAAAGACUCCAAAUAGAGCAGUCUUCUGGUAAGAGGUUUUAGUAUAACACGUUCACAGCUUCUAUUGGCAUGCCUUGCGUAUGUUGGCUUUCCACAUUAUACCGUGAUAAUUCGUCGGUAGGCUAUUUCUCAUAGUUUGUGCAAUUUCCUUGCAAUAAUCAUAAUUUCUAAUAGUAAUAGUAGUUUCAUUGCAUCAUUUCUCUGUACUUCUUCUAUCAUAUAGUUUUCCAACCUGUGCAGGAGAAGUGAAAUUGAUGAUGAACCAAGCACUCAAUGACUGAAGCUACUGAAACCUCUUCUUCUUCUUCUUCUUCUUGUGUGUUUUUUGGUCAGCUAGUCUGCAUUUUGGUUGCAUUGCCAUUGUUCAGGGCAGUAUCAGAAAGUUGUCUCGAGUGAAUGUUGAAUUGUUCUUCAAUUUGCCAUAACAGCAACUGCCAAACUGAAAUUGAAGUUUCAACAUCCU